GGAAUGGGUUUUUUUUUUUGUUUGGCAAAUCUGCUGCUCUAACUGUCAGUGAAAGUUACUUAUCUCCUUUUGUUUUAACUAUGAAGUAGAAUCAGAGAGCAGCAUGUACUAUUGAAAGGAUAGUACUAAAGAGCCAAGCGAAAAGCUACGCCUGCCAUUUUGUAGUAUUCUGUAUGCUUUUCAGAUUUAAAGUCCAAAAGUAAGCCAGCCCUCUGAUUUUAGUUUUAUGAAUUGGAUAUUCAUAAGCAUCCUUUUCUUCCCUCUGAUACACUGCAGUAACUCUUAGGAAAAUGACUGGCAUUGGUAGAGUUAAUUCCGCAGCUGUGGCCCCCAGCUGGAUGUCCCACCUAGCACCUGCAAGGCAUAUAGUUUAAGUGGUAUAUUAGGCUGCAUAGAAUUGUUGCUUAUAGUGGACUUGAAGAGAGUUUGUGUGGGAACUUAAGGAAAGCUUGUGUUUGCUUACCUACACAAAGGAACUGCAGCUCAAAAGAAGUGGAGCAUUAGUAGCAUUGCUUUUUGAGUAUUUUUAAAAUGUCCUUUGAAAAACUCAGGUUAUCUUUUUAAAAGGAGCAGUUGAAUUACAUGCUUAUCAUCACUCCAAACCCUCACCUUGGCUUACUUUCUGGAGCAGUAAUUCUCUUCCAAAAGAGUUGCUGUGAUUUGAUUAUAUUCAGGUCUAGUGAAGAGUGUGAGUAAUGGUUAUGUUUCCCUGAUUGCCUGUUGGAGUGAUACAUCUUUCUUAUAAGUAGCUGUAACUUAGUUGACAGCCUCUUCAGGUUAAAACUAAAAUCAUCUUUUGGCUGUAGGCCUUAAUUGUCCUUCCUAAACCAGACACUUCACCGUCAGGAAAAUACAAUCCCAAAAGUGCAAGGUACAAUGCUUAUGUAUCCUCUGUAAAUUAAAAAACUGGGUUGGAGCUCUACAGGUGAACAUGGUUUCCAUUCAGGGACAUCUUGAGCCACAUUACAUCUACUGCACUGAUUGACUCCUUGGAAACACAGGUGAAAACUAUACUUACUGCACAUAUGUAUCACACAUCUCAUUAUACUUCAUGCUAAUUCAGGGAUUCUCAAGUAUUUCCUUGUUUUUCAUUAUGUUUCCUCAACAACAAGUAAGUAAGUACUGCCUUCUGGCAAACAAAAAAGGGUUGGUUAGAUCAGCUUAGCUGAGUGAUAACUUUGUGCCCAGAGGGAAGAAGAAGGGAUGAUUUUGCAAUUAGUUGUUCCAAAAAAAAAGUCCUCAAAACCUAAAACCAUAUCCAAGAUAGCAUAGAUAAUCAUUAUAUGAUCCAAUGUAUCUGGUAAGAACAGCAGUAAAUUUGUAGGUGGUCAGUAUCAGAGACUGAAAUCUAAAGUCUUUGAAUGAGAUCAGAACUGUUGCUUUUCUACAAGGUCAACCACAUUUAGUCUCAGUUAACAAUAGUGUAAGUGCAUGCAGUAUAGACAGUGAUUAGGACAUCAAUCUGGUAUGAAAUGUAGGCCAAUGCCAGCAAUCCACUAUCAUUCCUGAACUUCCUUGGCACCUUUCAUAAGACCACAGCACUUGAGUCCAGCUCCUGAUGGAACUUACCUACUUAAAUAAGGGACCUGAAGUCCCUGUAAUAGUUUAUUGAGGUCAAGCAAUUUAAAUUUAUUUCUUAGCUUCCAAGAAAAGCCUGCGGAUGUAGGUUCCUUCCUCUGGGAAGACCAGUCUUUGGUCUCUUCGGUACCUUCUACAGUCAAGCACAUCUUAGCCAAAGGCAGGUUGUUCCUGUGUGCCAUGCUCUGCAUAACAGCUUUAAAAAUAACAACCACAGUAGUUCAAUAUCAGAACAGUAUUUUGAUGUCAGAGCUGUUAAUGUGGCCCUCUCAGACCUGUUGUGUACAAGCCUAAGACUGACUGACUUUUCUUUUAUCAGUUCAUUUUUUUUCCCUUUGGCCAAUAAGGCAAUAAUAAUAAUAAUAAAAAACCCAGCAUUAAUGCAAUUGUUUAGAAACAAAAAGUUCUGCAUGCUACAGAACAAACCGACCUCCAGCUUGCUGCCAAGGGAGCAAGACUGCACUGCUGUCUGCAGUCAGGCAUACUGCUCCUCUCUAGCUGAGUCCCUGUGCAGAACAAGCCAGUGUUAAAAUACAUUCUAGCUUUCAUAUGGUCCUUACAUCCUCCCAUCUCUUGACAGGAAAAAGAGCUCUGAACUGAAUGUUUGGAGAGUGAUGUGCCUGUGGUACAAAGCAAACACUGAGCACCUCAGCCCAGAGAGCAGCAGCUGCUCACCAGUCAGUCCCCCAGCCCUCAUGCCCCCACCCUCUUCUGCCUCUGUGUAUAAGGGGAGAUGCUUCACUGUUUGGGCUGUAACAUGCCCCAGACCUUCACUGCCCAUCUCUGAGGAAUGAUGGCAGCCUGGUCACCUUUCAGCUUGGAUAGCAAAGGGUUAUCUGAGUGCUACUGGAGGCCAUGCACAAUUUGAGGUGUGCUGUUAGCAGGUUCUCAUGUUAUUCAGAAUAUGUGCAUAUAUGUUGUGAAUAGGGCAAGAGAUGAGAUGCCAAUACAGUGCUGGAGAUAUUUUGUUGCCUACUGUAGCAACAACUACACAAAGAGGAUGUGCAGGCUGCUGGACAUCUACUUUUUGCCCUGGUAACAAUGAAUUAAUACUAAGGAAUGAAACAGAAUAAUACCAUUGCAUAUACACUGAGUUAAUUAAAAACUACUGUUUGGAAAACUUGUACUCAACCUUUUUAAACUAUGAAAUUCAGCAUUUAAUUCCAUAGCUGCUUUGUCUACUCACUUGUGCACAGCCUGGAAGUGAGUUUGAAUGGAUCCCACCCUGCUUUGAAGAGACAAUUAUUCUGGUAACAGUGAGUUUAAACAGUGAUUUUAAAAAUGAGACAACUCUGCUAGGAGUUCCCAUUUGAGAGGAUUCUCUUUAGAGACUUGCUAUUGGAGAAAAGUGCUGUUCAUCCAUAGCAUAUGAUUACAGCCAAGCUGUUUCAAUCUUAGUUUUCCUGCCUUUUUUUUUUCCGGCCAUUCCUUAGCUUCUCUACUCAGCUUAAAUGGUUGGCUUUGCUUAAACUUCACUUAACUCUGUAAACAGCAGCAUAAACAGCUAACAUGAAAAGCUGAACCAAAUGUGUGGCAAUGAAACAAUGUGCCUGGUUCCUUGUAACCAUAACUGCUUACCUGUCAGAAAGUACUGAGGGCUGAGCAAGCCAGAAAGUCACCCCACUGCUGGCAGCACAAGGUCCUGCAUCCAGACAUCGUUUUCCACACUGCAGAUGAUCAGUCACUAACAGAGAAGCAACAGUAACUUCUGCCUUAAAGUAUUUGUACUUCUUUUUUAAGACAAAAUAAAUCGCAGUCUUCUGAUGCAAGAGCAAUUAUUCCUUGUGUAUGGAGAAGGUACAUGGAUGAAGGAGCCAAAAAGUAUAUGCUGAUCUAAGCAUAAGUUCACAGGUUUAGUUAUUUCUGUAAUGUCUUCAUGUCUGAAAUCAAUUGUAGGCGGUCAGCAUAAGUAAGGUUUCCAGCCAUAGUGAGAGUGACCGUGCUUGACUGUGUAAAAUAUGUCUUGGGGAGAUAGACAAGCAUCACCAUUAGUUAUAUUAAUACACCAUCAGAAACUGGUAACAACAGACAAUGUAAACUGGGAUUGUAAAUUGUCUGUUCCUGUAUUAAGGGUGCUACUGAAAUUCCCAGGAUAGGCCAUUCAAAGUGCAAACAGAGCACAGAAGGAUCUGUCAGACUGCAUAACAGCACAUGCUGAGAGAUGUCAGAGUUUCCAAAAACAGACUAAAAGCACUGCCUAAUUUUUUCUUAUCUAGCACCAGCAACAAAAGAGGUGACAAAGUCUUGCUUUAGCAGAAUGCUUAGCACUUCCACAGAGCUCACUUCAAAGUAAAACUAACUCACAUUAAGGGAAGUUUUAAACAACAACAAAUAUGUUGAAUGGGACCUCGCUGGAAUAAUUGUGUAUGCCAUCAGAUGUGGUUUGCAGUUGGCAGGUAGGGCAGUGCUCUUACCAAUGGACAAGGCUAUGUGUGGGUGGAUGUGCUAGCUUAGUCCAUGUGCCUGGCAUAGCAUCAUACAGGAGUGGAUUGCAGCUCUUCCAUGCAAGGAAAAAACACCAACUCCCCCUUUGUUUGGAGAACAAUAAAAACCAUACUAGCAUCAGAAAGAACAGCUAUUCUUUCAUUUCAAAAAUAAGAGACAAACAGUUCAAGACACAUGGAAGAGCAACAGUGCUAUUAAUAAAAAAAGCUGCUUUCCUUGAGACCAAGGUACAGCUGUUUAAGGGACUUGGAUCUUUGAAAGGAGGAAGUUUAUCCUCAUUCCUGAAGGCAAACAAGGGCAAAGGGGC
This 4330-nucleotide long non-coding RNA is filed under the name Gallus gallus (chicken). The record is from RNAcentral. Lineage: Eukaryota; Metazoa; Chordata; Aves; Galliformes; Phasianidae.